This 253-nucleotide ribosomal RNA is filed under the name uncultured bacterium. RNAcentral describes it as "partial 16S ribosomal RNA". It matches the Rfam family "Bacterial small subunit ribosomal RNA", at positions 524 to 776 of the family's 1533-position model. The record is from RNAcentral.
UACAGAGGGUGCGAGCGUUGUUCGGAAUCAUUGGGCGUAAAGGGCGUGUAGGCGGUCUGUUAAGUCAUGUGUGAAAUCCCUCGGCUCAACCGGGGAACGACGCAUGAAACUGACAAGCUAGAGUACCAAAGAGGGGGGUGGAAUUCCCGGUGUAGCGGUGAAAUGCGUAGAUAUCGGGAGGAACGCCGGUGGCGAAGGCGGCCCCCUGGUUGGAUACUGACGCUGAGACGCGAAAGCGUGGGGAGCAAACAGG